GGUGAAGGUGUGGGGGAAAGCUAGGAAUCGACAAAAAAAAACCGUCUUCUCUCGAUAUGACUCAUCUCUCUGCAUAGUCUUCUUCUCUUAACACAGGAGAAUCUUCUCUCUUCUCUCAUUUCGAAGACGACGAACAAAUCUCCAAGGAAGGCGUGAAGAGUAAAAGUAUAACUGUUACCUUCCUCAAUGCAUUAAUCUAAGAAGAAUCUGCUCCCUGUUUAGUCAAGCCUCCUCAUGAACUGAGCAGACCUCUGAUCCGACGUCGUACUCGAUCUCAAUCAAAAAUGUCGUCGUCGGAUUAACUCGGAUCCGUAAUAUUACCUCACUCGAAGGUAACAAUCUCGAACAAUCUCAGCUUAUAGA
Molecule: long non-coding RNA, 363 nt
Organism: Brassica napus (rape)
Lineage: Eukaryota; Viridiplantae; Streptophyta; Magnoliopsida; Brassicales; Brassicaceae
Exons: 3
Source: RefSeq, a predicted model, not a curated record